CAACUCUUCGCUUGUCGGAGGUCCCGCUUGUGCGACCAAUUUCCGCACAUGCGCGGUCGGCCACCGCAAUGCCCAUUCGACGUCUAGGUAGCGGCGCAGCUGGUCAGCUAGCGCAUGGUAGUUGGGACACAUUGGAGACAGAGCCCGUCACCCAGAAGGCAAGCACCCCUCCUUCCUCCUGCCACAGCCAUACAGGAAUGUCCUGUGGCCAGGGCUACAGUUUGGGGAAAUGCCAGUCUGGAUGGGAUUGAGGAAAAAGCAGAAGCAAAUCUGCUGGCAGGAAAACAGCCAAAUGAGUGGAGAAAACCUGGAGGCAGACACCUGUGGCACAACAUGGAGCAGAGCCCACCAGCCCGGACAUGGUUACCUUUUUGCGUGGCCGAAGCUUUUCCCGCCAUUCCUUCAGGUUCUGGUUAUGGCUCUCAUCCAGGGCCUUCAGCUUCUGGGUUUCAUGCUCUACCAGGAGGUGACACUUCUCAUUCUGGAACAAAUUCCAGACAGAACAGUCGGUUUCGCCUCCUACAAGAAACCUCUGCUGGCUGCCGUCAUUGCACUCAGAUGAGGAACUGCAAUUACCCACACCAGCUGUGCAGCCAGAGCUCGGAUUAUCUGUCUGGGUCCCCACUAAGGGGACAACUGCACAGAGCGCCGCCUCCCGGUCUGUGGAGGACACCGCAGCGUGAGGUGCCGAUGGCCAGAGCCCCAUGGACCCUCCCCGGCCCCUCACCAUGCAGCUGCUGACUGUGCCACCUCCUCACACCAGGCUGGAUGAGCCACUCCAGAAACUUCCUCAACACCCACGGGAUGAGAGCUCGCUACAGCAGGAAGGGUUCCGAGCCAGGAGCCCGAGAAACUGGACGCCUCGGCUGGAAGCCAGCUCCCUCGCUGGGAUUGAGGGCAGAAGCAAAGUCAUCAUGGUCACAGAGAAAACGGACAAGAGCAAAUAUACAGAGAGGACAUGUAAGAGAGACCGAGAGACAUGUCAGCCAGUUGUGACGUGGGCUUUGGUUGGACCCUGAUUCAAACAACAAAUUGUAAAAAAAACUUUUCAAAGGAGACAACUGGAAAUGUGAGUACUGACUGACUGCAAACAUGUUGUUAAGCAACUAUUGUUAGACGUUUAAAUGUUUGACGUGUGCUCCUUGUAUUGUGGUCAAUUUUUAGAGAUGCUUGAGAUUUGCAUACUCGUGUUCUUAGCGGCAGCAUUCACAGUAGCCAAGGGGUGGAAACAACUCACGUGUCCAUGGACAGAGGAAUGGAGAAACAAGAUGUGUAUAUACACACAGUGGGAUAUUGUUCAGUCUUUAAAAGGAAGGGAAUUCUGACACAUACUACCACAUAAAUGAACCUUGAGGACAUUCUGUUAAGCCAGUCACAUAAGGAAGAAUACUGUAUGACUCCACUUAUAUGAGUUCAAAUUCAUACAGACAUAAAACAGAAUGGUGGUUGCCAGGGGCUACAAGGAGGGAAAAUGGGGGUUUAGUAUUUAAUGGGGACAGAGUUUCAGUUUUGCAAGAUGAAAAGAGUUCUGGAGACGGAUGGUGGUGAUGGUUGCACAACAAUGUGAAUGUACUUAGUGCCACUGAGCUGUGCACUUAAAAAAUGGUUAAGAUGGCAAUUUUACAUUCUAUCUGUUUUACCACAAUUAAAAAAAAAAAAAACAUCUAAAACACCUUUCCCUGUUAUAAUGUAAUAAUCUAGCAAAUGAGUUUUAAUGGCUGAAAGUCUUUCAUAGUCUGGCUCUACCCUAACUUAUUUAGCCAGUAUGUGAUAGGUUGUUUCCAGGUUCUGUUUUAGGUAGCGCCGCUUUUCACACUCUGGUAGCUCAAUGUCCAUGAGCCUCUGUGAUGAUCAGUCCUCACGAUUAGUCUCUAGACACAGAAAGUCCAGGCCAAAGCGUGUGCACACUUUUGAGGCUCUCAAUACAAUUGCCAGAUUGGAGAUGAGCUAGGAAGCUACUGCAGCCGUCCAGGCAAAAGAUGACAGUGGCUAGGGGGUCACAGAGAUGUGGACAAGUUGAUGGAUCCAGAGAGUUUGGAGGUAACAGAAAACAUGCUUGAGGAGGUAGGUAGUAGAGGACUGGAAGGAAAGGAGGCGUCAGGCCUGCCGUCCGGAUGGAGGGCGGUGCCCCCGCCAAACACAAAAGGAACAGGUCUGGGAAAUCAUGGGUUUCAGUUGCGAAAAGAUGCCAAGUGAGCAGAUGGAUAUGCUGGGUUGGCCAAGGAGACGUGACUUACAAACAACCCUAAAACAAGGCAGAAGGCACUAAAGGCUUUGGGAGAGGUGAGGUGAAGGUGGGGUAUCCAGAGAAGGGAGAGCUCGCUUCCAGCUGGAGUGAGGGCAGUCAAGGAGGACUGCACGGGCGAGGUGAGAGCGGGAUGACAAGAGGAUGGGCUAGAUUUGAGUAUUCAGAGUAAGAGAUGGGCAUUCGAGGGGCAGGGCAUAGACAGAGGGGCAUGGUCACCAGCAGGGUCUCAAACCUGGGACUCCCCAACCCCUCUACCCCAAGUGAGGGCAAGG
Rhinolophus ferrumequinum (greater horseshoe bat) is the source of this 2520-nucleotide long non-coding RNA. RefSeq lists it as uncharacterized. Lineage: Eukaryota; Metazoa; Chordata; Mammalia; Chiroptera; Rhinolophidae. The transcript has 6 exons. The record is from RefSeq and is a predicted model, not a curated record.